UACGAAGGGGGCUAGCGUUGUUCGGAAUUACUGGGCGUAAAGCGCGUGUAGGCGGCUUUAUAAGUCGAAUGUGAAAGCCCUUGGCUUAACCAAGGAAGUGCAUUCGAUACUGUAGAGCUUGAGUGCCGGAGGGGAUGGCGGAAUUCCUGGUGUAGAGGUGAAAUUCGUAGAUAUCAGGAAGAACACCAAUGGCGAAAGCAGCUUUCUGGGACGGUACUGACGCUGAGACGCGAAAGCGUGGGGAGCGAACAGG
Molecule: ribosomal RNA, 253 nt
Filed under: uncultured bacterium
Lineage: Bacteria
Description: partial 16S ribosomal RNA
Rfam family: Bacterial small subunit ribosomal RNA
Source: RNAcentral